This 227-nucleotide ribosomal RNA is filed under the name Candidatus Enterousia excrementavium. Its description in RNAcentral is "partial 16S ribosomal RNA". It matches the Rfam family "Bacterial small subunit ribosomal RNA", at positions 1 to 242 of the family's 1533-position model. Lineage: Bacteria; Pseudomonadati; Pseudomonadota; Alphaproteobacteria. The record is from RNAcentral.
AAACUUGAGAGUUUGAUCCUGGCUCAGAACGAACGCUGGCGGCAGGUCUUAGGCAUGCAAGUCGAACGGGUGAAACAGGGCUUGCCCUGUGGAUCUAGUGGCGCACGAGUGAGUAACGCGUGGGAAACUGCCCAUUACUGGGGAAUAACGUUUGGAAACGAACGCUAAUACCGCAUACGCCGGAAACGGGAAAGAUUUAUCGGUGAUGGAUGUGCCCGCGUUGGAUU